Zea mays is the source of this 854-nucleotide long non-coding RNA. RefSeq lists it as uncharacterized. The record is from RefSeq and is a predicted model, not a curated record. The transcript has 2 exons. NCBI's taxonomy places the organism in Eukaryota, Viridiplantae, Streptophyta, Magnoliopsida, Poales, Poaceae.
CAUCUGUCUCUCCUCGCAGGCCCGAGACUUCCGCCGAUUUGGCCUACCUCUCCCAGAUUGCCGGCGUCCUCGCCCCCGCAGACAACUGCAGCCUCCCCCUCUUCCGCCCAAGACUUCAACCGAUUUGACCUGCCUCCUCCCGGAUAGCCAGCGUCCUCGCCCUAGCUGCCGCCUGCUACGCGUGACGCCCUCAUCCAUGGCACCGGAAGAGGCUGAUGUGGAUCGUUGCGGAGGACAACACGAAGGUCCUGGCUUCGGGCUCCACUAACUCACUGAAGAGACCAUCGGCGGCGGCAACGGUCACCAUCUCCGAGAAAUCUCGCUGAAGGCAACAUCGACGACGGUUCCGUGCAGCGUCGCCGCUUGAAGCUCCCACGGGAUCUACAGCCACCAUCCAAGGAGGAGAAGCCGGUCCCAGCAUCACCCAAGGUGGUGAAUGUCCCCUACCCUGGUCGUACUUGUACCCAUACCCGGCGUGGCUGUCCGACUGCUGCUCCCAGUCCCACCACAGCCACGGUGGGUGCCAGUGCUGCUCCACGGUAAGAUAAUUCACGAAGAAUAAUGCCAGCGAUCUAUCUCUGAGAAAGAAGACAAUAAUACACAUUCCACGACUGCAAUUUUAGCUAAACAAUGCAGAGCAAUUGAAGGAAAAAAGAAUAUUAAGGAAGUUGCCUGAAGUUAAGGUCAAAUUUUCUUUUCUCCUCUGUGGACACCAUCAAAUUGAUUUCUUGUUGGUUAUAUUCUUAACCCGUUGGUGAAUGAAGAUGUUAUUUUCCUUGUUAUCUUUAAUUUAUUCUUCCCAGCUACUACUAUGACAAUAUAAUGGUAAUUGUCAAAUUUAAGUGUUGAAAUUA